Molecule: ribosomal RNA, 606 nt
Filed under: Triticum aestivum (bread wheat)
Lineage: Eukaryota; Viridiplantae; Streptophyta; Magnoliopsida; Poales; Poaceae
Description: partial small subunit ribosomal RNA
Source: RNAcentral
AUGGAAAUCGACGAGGACGAUCCGGUGAUCAAGGAAAGUGUUCGGUGGCUAGCGCUCGCAAGGGUGCGUACCGAGAAGAGCUUCUCUCCCUCCGCCUUCUACAAGGACAUGAGGGCUGCUUGGAACCCUGCGCAUCUGGUGAGAUUCCGGCCCGUUGGCCCCAAUAGAUUUGUGGUUCAAGCAUCCUGCUUGGGAGAUUGGGAACGCAUCAUGUCGCAAGGGCCAUGGAUCUUCCGUAACAUGGCGGUGCUGCUAUGCCCGUACGAUGGAUUCAGCAGGGCUGAAGAUGUCGUGGUUGAUCACAUGCCAAUCUGGCUACAGAUACACAAGUUGCCUGACCCCUUUUGCAAAGAGAACAUUGUAGAGAAAUUGUUGAAGGGGGCAGGGGAAAUUCUGGAGAUGCGUUUGAAUGGGAAUACCCAUGGAGAUUACGUAAGGGUGAGGAUUAAUCAUGAUAUCCAAAAGCACCUUACGAAGUUUGUGAGCAUAGUCCGAGCUAAGGAGAGGCAGGUGUACUUGGUGCGCUACGAGAAGUUGGCUCGUUUUUGCAAAGCUUGCGGUCUGAUCGGCCAUGAUCAUGAAGAGUGCGGUCUGGGGAAUUCAUGA